GGAAGCUGUGGCUUAGUGGUAAAGCACCUGCUUGGCAUGCAGAAGGACCCAGGUUCAAUCCCCAGCACCCCCC
Molecule: transfer RNA, 73 nt
Filed under: Sphaerodactylus townsendi
Lineage: Eukaryota; Metazoa; Chordata; Lepidosauria; Squamata; Sphaerodactylidae
Description: tRNA-Ala
Rfam family: tRNA
About the family: Transfer RNA (tRNA) molecules are approximately 80 nucleotides in length.
Source: RNAcentral